RNAcentral lists this ribosomal RNA (458 nucleotides) under uncultured bacterium. Its description in RNAcentral is "bacterial SSU rRNA". It matches the Rfam family "Bacterial small subunit ribosomal RNA", at positions 340 to 786 of the family's 1533-position model. The record is from RNAcentral.
UACGGAAGGCAGCAGUGGGGAAUAUUGCACAAUGGGCGAAAGCCUGAUGCAGCUAUGCCGCGUGUAUGAAGAAGGCCUUUAGGGUUGUAAAGUACUUUCAUCGGGGAGGAAAAAACAAAACUAAUAAUUUUAUUUCUUGACGUUACCCGAAAAAGAAGCACCGGCUAACUCCGUGCCAGCAGCCGCGGUAAUACGGAGGGUGCUAGCGUUAAUCAGAAUUACUGGGCGUAAAGAGCACGUAGGUGGUUUUUUUAAGUCAGAUGUGAAAUCCCUGGGCUUAACCUAGGAACUGCAUUUUGAAACUGAAAUACUAGAGUAUCGUAGAGGGAGGUAGAAUUCUAGGUGUAGCGGUGAAAUGCGUAGAUAUCUGGAGGAAUACCUGUGGCGAAAGCGGCCUCCUAAACGAAUACUGACACUGAGGGUGCGAAAGCGUGGGGAGCAAACAGGGAUUAGAUACC